This 328-nucleotide ribosomal RNA is filed under the name uncultured eukaryote. RNAcentral describes it as "partial 18S ribosomal RNA". It matches the Rfam family "Eukaryotic small subunit ribosomal RNA", at positions 1470 to 1796 of the family's 1831-position model. The record is from RNAcentral.
CCCUUAGAUGUUCUGGGCCGCACGCGUGCUACACUGAUGCAUUCAACGAGUCUAAAACCUGGUCUGAUAGGGCUGGGUAAUCUUUUGAAAGUGCAUCGUGAUUGGGAUAGAUGAUUGCAAUUCUUCAUCUUCAACGAGGAAUGCCUAGUAAACGCAAGUCAUCAGCUUGCGUCGAUUACGUCCCUGCCCUUUGUACACACCGCCCGUCGCUCCUACCGAUUGGGUGUGCUGGUGAAAUGUUCGGAUCGGCCGUUUGUCGCGGUUUCCGCGUCAUGUGGCUGAGAAGUUCAUUAAACCCUCCCACCUAGAGGAAGGAGAAGUCGUAACA